CCUACGGGAGGCAGCAGUAGGGAAUCUUCCGCAAUGGACGAAAGUCUGACGGAGCAACGCCGCGUGAACGAUGAAGGCCUUCGGGUCGUAAAGUUCUGUUGUCAGGGAAGAACAAGUACCGGAGUAACUGCCGGUACCUUGACGGUACCUGACCAGAAAGCCACGGCUAACUACGUGCCAGCAGCCGCGGUAAUACGUAGGUGGCAAGCGUUGUCCGGAAUUAUUGGGCGUAAAGCGCGCGCAGGCGGCUCCUUAAGUCUGAUGUGAAAGCCCCCGGCUCAACCGGGGAGGGUCAUUGGAAACUGGGGAACUUGAGUGCAGAAGAGGAGAGCGGAAUUCCACGUGUAGUGGUGAAAUGCGUAGAGAUGUGGAGGAACACCAGUGGCGAAGGCGGCUCUCUGGUCUGUAACUGACGCUGAGGCGCGAAAGCGUGGGGAGCGAACAGGAUUAGAUACCCUGGUAGUCCACGCCGUAAACGAUGAGUGCUAAGUGUUAGAGGGUUUCCGCCCUUUAGUGCUGCAGCAAACGCAUUAAGCACUCCGCCUGGGGAGUACGGCCGCAAGGCUGAAACUCAAAGGAAUUGACGG
RNAcentral lists this ribosomal RNA (587 nucleotides) under uncultured bacterium. RNAcentral describes it as "bacterial SSU rRNA". It matches the Rfam family "Bacterial small subunit ribosomal RNA", at positions 338 to 916 of the family's 1533-position model. The record is from RNAcentral.